UACGUAGGGUGCGAGCGUUGUCCGGAAUUACUGGGCGUAAAGAGUGUGUAGGCGGUUCUCCAAGUCUGGUGUGAAAUCUCCCGGCUUAACUGGGAGGGUGCAUUAGAAACUGGAAUGCUAGAGGAUGGGAGAGGUAAGCGGAAUUCCUGGUGUAGCGGUGAAAUGCGUAGAUAUCAGGAGGAACACCUGUGGUGUAGACAGCUUACUGGACCAUUUCUGACGCUGAGACACGAAAGCGUGGGUAGCAAACAGG
Molecule: ribosomal RNA, 253 nt
Filed under: uncultured bacterium
Lineage: Bacteria
Description: partial 16S ribosomal RNA
Rfam family: Bacterial small subunit ribosomal RNA
Source: RNAcentral